Molecule: ribosomal RNA, 459 nt
Filed under: uncultured bacterium
Lineage: Bacteria
Description: SSU rRNA
Rfam family: Bacterial small subunit ribosomal RNA
Source: RNAcentral
AGAAUCAACGCUGGCGGCGUGCCUAACACAUGCAAGUCGAACGAGAAAGUGGAGCAAUCCAUUAGUAAAGUGGCGCACGGGUGAGUAACACGUGACUAACCUACCUUUUAGUGGGGGAUAACCUAGGGAAACCUGGGCUAAUACCGCAUAAUACCUACGGGUCAAAGCAGCAAUGCGCUGAAAGAGGGGGUCGCGGUCGAUUAGUUAGUUGGCAGGGUAAUGGCCUACCAAGACUGUGAUCGAUAUCCGGCCUGAGAGGGCGCACGGACACACUGGAACUGAAACACGGUCCAGACUCCUACGGGAGGCAGCAGUGGGGAAUUUGCGCAAUGGGGGAAACCCUGACGCAGCAACGCCGCGUGGAGGAUGAAGUCCCUUGGGACGUAAACUCCUUUCGAUCGGGACGAUAAUGACGGUACCGGAAGAAGAAGCCCCGGCUAACUUCGUGCCAGCAGCCGC